RNAcentral lists this long non-coding RNA (1196 nucleotides) under Homo sapiens (human). RNAcentral describes it as "long non-coding RNA NONHSAT181114.1". Lineage: Eukaryota; Metazoa; Chordata; Mammalia; Primates; Hominidae. The record is from RNAcentral.
UUCACACGGAUACCACGAAUGCCACGGUGGCCUCCUGAAGACGGAGUCUGGUCUCACAUUCCUCCAGCUUCCUGUGCAUAAACCCCAGCGAAGGGUGAGCGCACGGCAUGGCACCUGCAGCAUGGGGUUCACGUUCUGGAAGGUUCUGGCUGACUCCCACCCCGCCCUUCACUGGCCAAGUAAACUUGCAGAAGUUACUUAACCCUUGACCUAGAAGAGCCUCCUGUCACCUGAAAAGGGAAAGUCGGGAUUGUAAGGAAAGGAAUCUCAUAGGGCUUCUCUGAGGAGACAAAUCAUUGGAUUGGGCUUAGACGUUCCAUCCGUGGUUUCCGGCUUUGCCCUUUGGAGCCUGAGGAGCAAGGGUAGAAUGAGGAUCGUGAGGUUCUUCAGAGGCAGUUACUCACGAGGUCACAGCGCAGAAACGGCAAGAAAUGUCUUUUUCCGUAAGGGAUCUAAAAAAUUAAACAAUUUGUAACUCAAACACACUUGUCAGGUAGCCUGAGUCAAAACCAGGAGAGGCUCCAUGGUCUGGAGUCUCCAGGUGCUCUCCUGGGUCAGGACAACUAUGGAUGUGAAGGAUGGGAGAGGGGCCUCCUUCCGCAUGAGGUCCCCAGAGGAGAGGGGUUCAUCCUUCUCCAUCUAGGACUUGAGGGACAUCCUUCUCCAUCCAGGACUGAGAGGCAUCCUUCUCCUUGCAGUACCUGAGGGACAUCCUUCUCCAUUCAGGACCUGAGGAUGUCCUUCUCUGUACUCCCUUGGGACUGCACCCUUUCCUGUGCCAUCCUUCAGAAUGCUAGGCUGUCGCUGGUUGUGGAUUGAACUCUAGCAUCUUAUCUCUAUUCUAGGUCUAAAGGCUACUUCAGCAGGUUCAGAAUUCCAAGGAAACCUACUUUCAACAGUGUGAGGCCUGUGCCUCAGUCAGCCGGGUGUGGAGUGGCCAGGUCGCACAUCAGCUGCAGGCACAGCCAGUUCAUGGGUAGACAGCCACAUCCUGCCCCAGGAGGAGGGCAGCCAGCAUGGGCGAUGCAAGCUCCCCUCGUCUGGAACCAGCACAUUAUGAAGAGCACCAAAGUGCAAGCCACAGGAUGGUAGAUGCUAUUUACAAUCCAUUCAACCAACAAAGGAUUUACAUGUGGACCACAGAGAGAACUGCAGGCCAGCAAGGAACCACAGGGAGAACUGCAGGCCAGUGAAGA